Long non-coding RNA from Gorilla gorilla gorilla (western lowland gorilla), 605 nucleotides. RefSeq lists it as uncharacterized. The transcript is spliced from 5 exons. The record is from RefSeq and is a predicted model, not a curated record. NCBI's taxonomy places the organism in Eukaryota, Metazoa, Chordata, Mammalia, Primates, Hominidae.
GUAUUUGUUCUGAUUCAUCUAAACACCGAGGUGGCAGAAAAGCCUCUUCCUGUGGCCCCCACCACCUCCAGUCCACAGUGAAUUCUACCAGACCACCACCAACGUUCACAUAAAGCCCGCGGACUCUUCCAUCAGAUUUUGGUGAAUGCUGCCAAACCUGGGACUGACCCUUCAGGGCAUUGGGCUGCUCUUUGGCCCAGGGAAGGUCUGGAAAUUUACCUAAGAGACCGGGCCUGGACUCAGGGACCCCAAAAGCCUGCUAAUUUCUCUACCCUACUGUGGUCAAGCUGGUACCAAAGGCUCCUCACUGAAAAGAAUGCCAAAUGCCUCUGGAAGUAAUAAAGAGACUGAACUAAUCUAAAAUUCUGUUUGAAACACUCAAGUCAUUUGGAACCAAUAUAUGUUGUCAUUAUCCCAUUCCAGUCUAUCCUCAUUCCUGUCCAUCCUCAAUUACCGUUCAGAGGGUACAUGUGCAGAUUUGUUAUACAUGUGUGGCCAAGGGAUUAAGUUUAGGUCAAAGAGGAUGUGAUCGCAAAAGACAUGUGCAAGUACAGUGUCACUGCCUUGAAGAUGAAGUUAUUCUGAACUUCCUUUCUCCCGCCUCC